Molecule: ribosomal RNA, 496 nt
Filed under: uncultured bacterium
Lineage: Bacteria
Description: partial 16S ribosomal RNA
Rfam family: Bacterial small subunit ribosomal RNA
Source: RNAcentral
AUGAACGCUGGCGGCGUUCCUAAUACAUGCAAGUCGAGCGAACGGACGAGAAGCUUGCUUCUCUGAUGUUGGCGGCGGACUGGUGAGUAACACGUGGAUAACCUACCUAUAAGACUGUAAUAACUUCGGGAAACCGUAACUAAUACCGGGUAAUAUUUUGAACCGCAUGGUUCAAAAGUGAAAGACGGUCUUGCUGUCACUUAUACAUGGAUCCGCGCUGCAUUAGAUAGUUGGUAAGGUAACGGCGUACCAAGGCAACGAUGCUGAGACGACGUCGGGGGGUAGUCGGCCAGACAGGGACGGCGACCAGGUCCAGACUCAGACGGGAGGCAGAAGUAGGGAAUCUGCCGCAGUGGGGGAAAGCGUGCCGGAGCAACGCCGCGUGAGUGAUGAAGGUCUUCGGAUCGUAAAACUCUGCUAGUAGGGAAGAACAUAUGUGUAAGUAACUGUGCACAUCUUGACGGUACCUAAUCAGAAAGCCACGGCUAACUACGUG